This 310-nucleotide ribosomal RNA is filed under the name Escherichia coli. RNAcentral's name for it is "bacterial SSU rRNA". It matches the Rfam family "Bacterial small subunit ribosomal RNA", at positions 1 to 307 of the family's 1533-position model. The record is from RNAcentral. Lineage: Bacteria; Pseudomonadati; Pseudomonadota; Gammaproteobacteria; Enterobacterales; Enterobacteriaceae.
AAAUUGAAGAGUUUGAUCAUGGCUCAGAUUGAACGCUGGCGGCAGGCCUAACACAUGCAAGUCGAACGGUAACAGGAAGCAGCUUGCUGUUUCGCUGACGAGUGGCGGACGGGUGAGUAAUGUCUGGGAAACUGCCUGAUGGAGGGGGAUAACUACUGGAAACGGUAGCUAAUACCGCAUAAUGUCGCAAGACCAAAGAGGGGGACCUUCGGGCCUCUUGCCAUCGGAUGUGCCCAGAUGGGAUUAGCUUGUUGGUGGGGUAACGGCUCACCAAGGCGACGAUCCCUAGCUGGUCUGAGAGGAUGACCAG